CCUACGGGCGGCAGCAGUAGGGAAUAUUGCUCAAUGGGCGAAAGCCUGAAGCAGCAACGCCGCGUGGAGGAUGAAGGCUUUCGGAUUGUAAACUCCUUUUGUCAGAGAAGAUAAUGACGGGAUUUAACGAAUCAGCACCGGCGAACUCCGUGCCAGAAGCCGCGGUAAUACGGAGGGUGCAAGCGUUACUCGGAAUCAAUGGGCGUAAAGAGCGCGUAGGCGGGAUAGCAAGUCAGAUGUGAAAUCCUAUGGCUUAACCAUAGAACUGCAUUUGAAACUGGUAUUCUAGAGUAUGGGAGAGGGAGGUGGAAUUCCUGGUGUAGGGGUGAAAUCCGUAGAGAUCAAGAGGAAUACUCAUUGCGAAGGCGGCCUGCUGGAACAUAACUGACGCUGAUGCGCGAAAGCGUGGGGAGCAAACAGGAUUAGAUACCCGUGUAGUC
This 440-nucleotide ribosomal RNA is filed under the name uncultured bacterium. Its description in RNAcentral is "partial 16S ribosomal RNA". It matches the Rfam family "Bacterial small subunit ribosomal RNA", at positions 338 to 795 of the family's 1533-position model. The record is from RNAcentral.